This 3163-nucleotide long non-coding RNA is filed under the name Sus scrofa (pig). RNAcentral's name for it is "lncRNA (ENSSSCG00045019444.1)". Lineage: Eukaryota; Metazoa; Chordata; Mammalia; Artiodactyla; Suidae. The record is from RNAcentral.
AUGGACAUGCAGGUUUUAAGAAUCAGGCUGGUGUGGCAGUUGGCUUCUGGAGAGCUGGGCAUGAUUAUAUUCAUGACUGUGGAGUGUCAGUGCAGUGGUAUUUGGGGGGGCAGACUGAGCCUGUCCCUAUGCUCCUUCUCUCCAGAGAUCUUCAUAUUGUCUUCCUCCCGUGCUGGACACGUGUGCCAAGGAACCUACCUAAAUCCAGAUCUAUGUCCUCCUCCUCUCUGCUCCACCUCAGCCUCUUCCUCCCUGCUGGACACCUGUGCCAAGGAACCUACUAAAUCCAGUGAUCUCUGCAUCCUCCUCCUCCCUGUUGGACACCUGUGCCAAGGAACCUACCUAAAUCCAGAGUCCUCUGCAUCCUCCUCCUCCUUUCUCACCCCGAGCAUCUUCCUUGUCUGCUGGACACCUGUGCCAAGGAACCUACCUCAAUCCAGGGGAAACUUCCAAAAAGCAGUGGCUCAGGGGAAAAAAGGAAAAGGAAGCCUGUGGAGAAAUUUCAGAGAUAGAUCCCAGGGAUGAGAACAGCCUGGCCAGCCACAAACCCCCUUCUACAAUGUCCAGUCAUGUCCUAAAGCACUGCUUUCCAGAUGCCACACUGGACAAAAGUUGACUCUCAAGAACUGCAUGCCCAAGUUUCAAGCUAAAUGCUGUGUGAUUCAGAGCUAUUCCAUCACAGGAUCCAAAGGCAUUCAGACCACGGAGAGCCAGGCACAUCGUCUCCUCUUAGGGCUCCAUAACCAGUAUGGAAACGACCUCUAGCCAUGAAGGAGAAGAGCUCUGUACCCACUAUCAGGAGAUGCAGCGUCCACCCAAGAGUCAGAAGAAGCCCAUAACACACCUUCCAUUGCUGGGCUUAUCCUGGGGUUCCACCAGUGGCAUUGGCAACCCCAUCUCUGCGUCUGGAAUUACCAACACCAAGCAGCAGAUGGGCAUGUCAGGGCUCCUUGUUCUCUAGCGUCCAUUACCUAUACCAGCCCUUCAGAUCCCAUUCUUCUGCAUCCUGACUCCUCCCAGUUCUGUUUGCACUGCUCCUGAGCACCUGUGAGCCUGAUUUGGUCCUCUCCUCUUCAUCUUUUUCUCUGUCAGAAAAAUCAAGGGCUACCUUAGGGCUCUGUGACCAGCUCAGGUGAAAGGAAAAUGCAGAACUUUUCAGAGAUCCCUUAAGAGAUUGGUCUCUGGGAUGUACCCAGCCUGCUCUCCAAGGGACCUCUGCUUUUUCACUCUCCACUGAUGAACACCAGCCCAGCCAUCCUGAGCCUGGAGAGGCAGUUGCAUGCUGUAAGCAAGCUCUCCCGGCGUGGCACCUCCUGGGGGAUCCACCAUCCUCAUUUCCAUCCAUGUCUCUGAGCCUAGAAGGGCAAUACAAGCUUCUGCUGAGCUUAGAUGGUGCUUUUUGGCGCCCUCUGGUGGACAUUCUCUCUAAUGACAACUCAGAACCCUGCCUCCUGUCUCCUGCCCAAACCCACCCCUGGGCCUGUGCACCAGAGAGAGGAUUUAAUUCCUCCGCUCACUCUGAUAACAACCAAGAGCCUUUAAGAGGGUGUGUUUUUCCCUCAAUGCCAGCCAUGGCACCCACUCCUCCCAAUCCUUCACUAUCCUCCUUAAUCAGUGAGCUGAGCCUACUCCAGAAUCGGGUAACUGUUUUUACAUUAGUCAGCUUCCCCUCCUGAUUUAUGUAACACUGACUGGUUGCAGUCAGUGUUUUCCUCUCAGGGAUUAACAAGGGGAGGGAGAGGCUCAGAUGGAAGGAAAAGAAAAAACUUUUCAGAGAGAUAAGUCUGUGUGUUGGAUGCAUCCUGCCCAGCAGGGAACCUCUGCAUUUACACUCUCCGUGCACGACCAACAGCAGCCCGGCUUUCUGAACCCCCAAAACCAUACAAGUCUGAUCCUAGAACAUUGCCUGCCCAAUAUUCAAGCCAACUCCACUUGGGUUCACACAUCUGCCUCUGCAGAAUCCAGAGCUCUUGACAGCCUGCCCAACUGUCUGAAAGUGACCCACAGAAGUGAAGGCAGAAAAGUGUCCUUUCUGUCAGGUGAGGUCAUUUAGAUUUGAGUGUCUGAGGUGAUCCAUAAACUAGCCCUCCUCUGAAGGCACGUGUCAGGAAAUCCACCACCACCACCAUCACCACCACCACCAAUCCCAAGCAGCCGCUGGGCUCCGCCGCUGCUCUGGCGCCCUCUAGUGCCCAUUCUUUAAUAACUCAGAGCCUUUUCUCCUGCCUCCUGACCAAACCCAUGGCUGGACUACACUGGGUUUGUGCAUCUGACAGCCAAUUCCCUCCUACUCUCACUCUGAGAACCACCAUGUACCUUACGAGAGGGCGAGGUGUCUCUCUCAACAUCCCCCAGCUCACUCCUUCCUCCGUGUUCUACUCUAGUCAUUCACCUCCACCUGGAAAUUCAUCUGCCUGCCUUAAUACUCAUUUCAAUUCUCCGGGGGUAACUGCUAGAAAAGAGUGGCUCGGGGAGGAAAACAAAAAGGAAGUCUGUGGUGAAGUUUCAGAAACAGAUUCCAGGGAUUAAUCAGAUUGUUAUGAUCAUUAUACAACUACAGAUGUGAUAAAUUCAUUUGAGUAAAAAAAAAAAAGAAAAAAAAAAAGAUUCCAGGGAUGAGCCACAAACCCCUUCUACACCCUCCAAUCAGGUCCACGAGCACUGCGUUCCAGAUGCCACAUCGGAAAAAAUCCUGGCUCUCAAGAACUUCAUGCCCAAGAUUCAAACCAAAUACUUUUUGAUUCAUGGCUAUUCCAUCAGAGAAUCCAAAGGCAUUAAGACCACGGAUAGCUGGUCACAUCGACUGGUCUUACCGCUCUGUGAGCAGUAGGAAACAACCCCUAACCAUGAAGGAAGAGCUCUGAACCCACUAUCAGGACAUGCAUCAUCCAGAGAGUCAGAAGAUGCCCAAAACUCACCUUCCAUCGCUGUGCACAUCCUUGGGGUUCCACCAGCACCACUGGCAACCCCAACUCUGAGUGUGGAAGUGCCAACACCAGGCAGCAGAUGGGCACAACUGGGCUCCUCGUCCUCUAACGGCCAUUGCCCAUACCAACCCUUGAGAUCCCAGUCUUCUGCCUCCUGACCCCUCCCAGUUCUGUUUGCACUGCUCUUAAACACCUGUGAGCCUGAUCGGAUCCUCUCCUGUCUCUGUCUCGCACUC